UGAGGAACAUGACCUUCGGCGGGGGAUAGCCGGCCCAACGGCCGGGUAAUACCGCGUACGACCACAUGGGGACAUCCCUGAGUGGUGAAAGCAGCAAUGCGCCGAUGGAGUGCCUCGCGGCCUAUCAGCUAGUUGGUGAGGUAAUGGCUCACCAAGGCGACGACGGGUAGCUGGUCUGAGAGGAUGACCAGCCACAGUUGGGACUGAGACACGGCCCAGAUCCCGUAACGGGG
Molecule: ribosomal RNA, 233 nt
Filed under: uncultured bacterium
Lineage: Bacteria
Description: partial 16S ribosomal RNA
Rfam family: Bacterial small subunit ribosomal RNA
Source: RNAcentral